This 253-nucleotide ribosomal RNA is filed under the name uncultured bacterium. RNAcentral describes it as "partial 16S ribosomal RNA". It matches the Rfam family "Bacterial small subunit ribosomal RNA", at positions 524 to 776 of the family's 1533-position model. The record is from RNAcentral.
UACGGGGGGGGCAAGCGUUGUUCGGAAUUACUGGGCGUAAAGGGCGCGUAGGCGGCGCGGCAAGUCUGUGGUGAAAGCCCGAGGCUCAACUUCGGGUCGGCCAUGGAUACUGCUGCGCUCGAGCACUGUAGAGGCAGGUGGAAUUCCGGGUGUAGCGGUGGAAUGCGUAGAGAUCCGGAAGAACACCGGUGGCGAAGGCGGCCUGCUGGGCAGUAGCUGACGCUGAGGCGCGACAGCGUGGGGAGCAAACAGG